GUCUUUAAGAUUUUAAUUUAAAGUCUAAUCUGCCCAAUGAAUUUAUUUAAAUGGCUGCAGAAUUUUUUACUGUACAAAGGUAGCAUAAUAAUUUGUUUUUUAAUUAAAAACUAGAAUGAAAGAUUUGAUGAAAUAUAAACUGUUUCAAUAAAAUUAUUAUUAAAUUUUUUAUUUAAGUAAAAAAACUUAAAUAAAUUUUAAAGACGACAAGACCCUAUAGAAUUUUAUUUUUUAAAUUUUUUAUAAAAAUUUAAAAAAUUUUAUUGGGGUAAUAAAAAAAUUAAAUUAAUUUUUUUUAAAAUUUACAUUUUUAAUGAAUAUUUUAUCUUAAUUUUUAAAUUAAAAAAAUUAAUUACCUUAGGGAUAACAGCAUAAUUUUUUUUAAAAGAUCUUAUUAAUAAAAAAGAUUAU
RNAcentral lists this ribosomal RNA (411 nucleotides) under Digonogastra sp. RNAcentral describes it as "partial 16S ribosomal RNA". The record is from RNAcentral. Lineage: Eukaryota; Metazoa; Arthropoda; Insecta; Hymenoptera; Braconidae.